CCCAGGAUGGCCGAGUGGUUAUGGCAUCAGACUGCUGAUUUCGAAUUCGCAGGUUCGAAUCCUGCUCCUGGGA
Nephila pilipes (giant wood spider) is the source of this 73-nucleotide non-coding RNA. The record is from the annotation of a GenBank genome assembly. Lineage: Eukaryota; Metazoa; Arthropoda; Arachnida; Araneae; Nephilidae.